Molecule: ribosomal RNA, 238 nt
Filed under: uncultured bacterium
Lineage: Bacteria
Description: partial 16S ribosomal RNA
Rfam family: Bacterial small subunit ribosomal RNA
Source: RNAcentral
UACGUAGGGGCCUAGCGUUGUCCGGAUUUAUUGGGCGUAAAGAGCUCGUAGGCGGUUCGGCAAGUCGGGAUGUGAAAUCUCCACGCUCAACGUGGAGGGGCCAUUCGAAACUGCCGUGACUCGAGUCCGGUAGGGGAGUGUGGAAUUCCCGGGUGUAGCGGUGAAAUGCGCAGAGUAUCGGGAGGAACACCAGUAGCGAAGGCGGCACUCCUGGGCCGGUACUGGACGCUGAGGAGCG